UGCCUUGUAGUCUAAUGGUAGGACGCCCCGCUCUGGACGGGGUAGUCUUGGUUCGAGUCCAGGCGAGGCAGC
Molecule: transfer RNA, 72 nt
Filed under: Microbacterium phage SansAfet
Lineage: Duplodnaviria; Heunggongvirae; Uroviricota; Caudoviricetes
Also listed under: 2 other names
Description: tRNA-Gln
Rfam family: tRNA
About the family: Transfer RNA (tRNA) molecules are approximately 80 nucleotides in length. Their secondary structure includes four short double-helical elements and three loops (D, anti-codon, and T loops). Further hydrogen bonds mediate the characteristic L-shaped molecular structure. tRNAs have two regions of fundamental functional importance: the anti-codon, which is responsible for specific mRNA codon recognition, and the 3' end, to which the tRNAs corresponding amino acid is attached (by aminoacyl-tRNA synthetases). tRNAs cope with the degeneracy of the genetic code in two manners: having more than one tRNA (with a specific anti-codon) for a particular amino acid; and 'wobble' base-pairing, i.e. permitting non-standard base-pairing at the 3rd anti-codon position.
Source: RNAcentral